This 512-nucleotide ribosomal RNA is filed under the name uncultured bacterium. RNAcentral describes it as "partial 16S ribosomal RNA". It matches the Rfam family "Bacterial small subunit ribosomal RNA", at positions 30 to 523 of the family's 1533-position model. The record is from RNAcentral.
AUUGAACGCUGGCGGCGUGCUUAACACAUGCAAGCCGAACGCGAAAGGGACUUCGGUCCUGAGUAAAGUGGCGCACGGGUGAGUAACGCGUGGAUAAUCUGCCCUUAUGAUUGGAAUAACAGUUGGAAACGGCUGCUAAUACCGGAUACGCUCAAAAUGAACUUUUUGAGGAAAGAUGGCCUCUGCUUGCAUGCUAUCGCAUAAGGAUGAGUCCGCGUCCCAUUAGCUUGUUGGCGGGGUAACGGCCCACCAAGGCAACGAUGGGUAGCCGAUUUGAGAGGAUGAUCGGCCACACUGGAACUGAAACACGGGCCAGACUCCUACGGGAGGCAGCAGUGGGGAAUAUUGCGCAAUGGGCGAAAGCCUGACGCAGCGACGCCGCGUGAGGGAUGAAGGUUUUCGGAUCGUAGGCCUCUGUCAGAAGGGAAGAAACUACGUUGUGCUAAUCAGCAGCGUACUGACGGUACCUUCAAAGGAAGCACCGGCUAACUCCGUGCCAGCCGCCGCCGUAA